RNAcentral lists this ribosomal RNA (576 nucleotides) under uncultured bacterium. Its description in RNAcentral is "partial 16S ribosomal RNA". It matches the Rfam family "Bacterial small subunit ribosomal RNA", at positions 355 to 923 of the family's 1533-position model. The record is from RNAcentral.
UGGGGAAUUUUGGACAAUGGGCGAAAGCCUGAUCCAGCAAUGCCGCGUGUGUGAAGAAGGCCUUCGGGUUGUAAAGCACUUUUGUCCGGAAAGAAAUCCUUGGCUCUAAUACAGUCGGGGGAUGACGGUACCGGAAGAAUAAGCACCGGCUAACUACGUGCCAGCAGCCGCGGUAAUACGUAGGGUGCAAGCGUUAAUCGGAACUACUGGGCGUAAAGCGUGCGCAGGCGGUUUGCUAAGACCGAUGUGAAAUCCCCGGGCUCAACCUGGGAACUGCAUUGGUGACUGGCAGGCUAGAGUAUGGCAGAGGGGGGUAGAAUUCCACGUGUAGCAGUGAAAUGCGUAGAGAUGUGGAGGAAUACCGAUGGCGAAGGCAGCCCCCUGGGCCAAUACUGACGCUCAUGCACGAAAGCGUGGGGAGCAAACAGGAUUAGAUACCCUGGUAGUCCACGCCCUAAAACGAUGUCAACUAGUUGUUGGGGAUUCAUUUCCUUAGUAACGUAGCUAACGCGUGAAGUUGACCGCCUGGGGAGUACGGUCGCAAGAUUAAAACUCAAAUGAAUUGACGGGGUCAUA